GACGAACGCUGGCGGCGUGCUUAACACAUGCCAGUCGAACGGAAAGGCCUGCUUUCCCUUGUGGAUUGCGGGUACUCGAGUGGCGAACGGGUGAGUAACACGUGAGUGAUCUGCCCCCAACUUGGGUAUAAGCCUGGGAAACUGGGUCUAAUUCCCGAUAGGACUGCAGGGUGGUGCCUGUGGUGGAAAACGAUUUUCUAGUGGUUGGGGAUGAGCUCGCGGCCUAUCAGCUUGUUGGUGGGGUAAUGGCCUACCAAGGCGGCGACGGGUAGCCGGCCUGAGAGGGGGGACGGCCACAUUGGGACUGAGAUACGGCCCAGACUCCUACGGGAGGCAGCAGUGGGGAAUAUUGCACAAUGGGCGGAAGCCUGAUGCAGCGACGCCGCGUGGGGGAUGACGGCCUUCGGGUUGUAAACUCCUUUCGACCGCGAGGAAGCCACCUGGUUGGAAGGGUGGUGACGGUAGUGGUAGAAGAAGCACCGGCUAACUACGUG
This 494-nucleotide ribosomal RNA is filed under the name uncultured bacterium. Its description in RNAcentral is "partial 16S ribosomal RNA". It matches the Rfam family "Bacterial small subunit ribosomal RNA", at positions 28 to 507 of the family's 1533-position model. The record is from RNAcentral.